GUGGGUUACACGGCAGAAACCCAAAGCGCGUUUGAAUAUGCGUGCGAAAUUCAAUCAUGAGACUGUCCGUUGAUGGAGCCGUGCGCUCUCAGUGGAUUUGGAAGUGGUGUGGAAACCCCAUGAGACGACUGUCCAUGACUUUUCCUGCUAAUAAAAGAGAUACCAGUAAAAUGUAGAAAGGGGAUAGAGAGGAAGAAUGAAGAGCAUAUUAAAAAAAGGACAAAGAAGAAUUUGGACAAAGAAAAUUAUGGAAAAAUAAAGAUUUUAGUCAUACUAAGAGAAAAUGAACAUCUGAAAAAUCAAAAUACUAGAUUGAACGUGGGAUUUUUAUUACUUAAUUUUGCUCCACUAGUAUAAUAGAGUAUUAAUUUUCUGUAUUUCUAAUCAUUUUUUUCUUUACAAACACAAAAAAUUCACUUAGUCUCUGAGAAAAACACUUUUAAACUUAAUUUGCAAUUUUUUAACAAUCUUAAAAACACAGCAACAUAAAAAUGCAGUUUACCGUA
This is a long non-coding RNA of Cervus elaphus (red deer), 506 nucleotides long. RefSeq lists it as uncharacterized. Lineage: Eukaryota; Metazoa; Chordata; Mammalia; Artiodactyla; Cervidae. The record is from RefSeq and is a predicted model, not a curated record. The transcript has 3 exons.